Molecule: ribosomal RNA, 255 nt
Filed under: uncultured bacterium
Lineage: Bacteria
Description: partial 16S ribosomal RNA
Rfam family: Bacterial small subunit ribosomal RNA
Source: RNAcentral
UACGAAGGGGGCUAGCGUUGCUCGGAAUGACUGGGCGUAAAGGGCGCGUAGGCGGUUUGCACAGUCGGGCGUGAAAUUCCAGGGCUCAACCUUGGGGCUGCGUUCGAGACGUGUGGGCUAGAGUGUGGAAGAGGGUCGUGGAAUUCCCAGUGUAGAGGUGAAAUUCGUAGAUAUUCGCAAGAACACCAGUGGCGGAAGGCGGCUCUCUGGGACGGUACUGACGCUGAGACGGCGAAAGCGUGGGGAGCGAACAGG